RNAcentral lists this ribosomal RNA (391 nucleotides) under uncultured bacterium. RNAcentral's name for it is "bacterial SSU rRNA". It matches the Rfam family "Bacterial small subunit ribosomal RNA", at positions 94 to 485 of the family's 1533-position model. The record is from RNAcentral.
GAGUGCGACCGGGUGAGUAAUGUUUCGGAACGUCCCUUUCAGUGGGGGAUAACGUAGCGAAAGUUCCGCUAAUCCCGCAUAUUCUGUGAGCAGGUAAGCAGGGGAUCGCAAGCCCUUGCGCUGAUUGGGCGGCCGAUAUCAGAUUAGCUAGUUGGUAAGGUAAAGGCUCACCAAGGCGCCGAUCUGUAGCGGGUCUGCCCGGAUGUCCGCCACACUGGAACUGAGCCCCGGUCCAGACUCCUCCGGGAGGCAGCAGUGGGGAAUUUUGGACAAUGGGGGCAACCCUGAUCCAGCCAUGCCGCGUGAGUGAAGAAGGCCUUCGGGUUGUAAAGCUCUUUCGUCCGGGAAGAAAUCGCAUCAGCUAAUACCUGGUGGGAUGCGGUUCGGCCUC